CCACAAACUGCCUUCACAUUGGGGCUUUACACUCUCUUUUUGGCCUUUCUUCAAGUGUUGACAGUGUUCACUAACUGAUGACUACAAUGUCUAAGAAAACAAGCUUGAUGGAAUAGUUUCAGCUGCAUUUAAAGUAUAUUUAUGACAGGAAGACAGUGUUCAAAAUGUUUUGCUUAUUGAAAAAAAGCAACAUGCAGAAAUACAGAAGAAGUUGGAGACCUGCCAGUUAGCUAUCAAAGUGAUUAACUACGGGAUGGUACGUAUCCACCUGAGCAGACCACAAGCUAUUUAACAGUAAAGAAUGAUAUUUUAUGACCCACAGGG
This 324-nucleotide long non-coding RNA is filed under the name Mus spicilegus (steppe mouse). Its description in RNAcentral is "lncRNA (ENSMSIG00000027202.1)". The record is from RNAcentral. Lineage: Eukaryota; Metazoa; Chordata; Mammalia; Rodentia; Muridae.